This 497-nucleotide ribosomal RNA is filed under the name uncultured bacterium. Its description in RNAcentral is "partial 16S ribosomal RNA". It matches the Rfam family "Bacterial small subunit ribosomal RNA", at positions 28 to 507 of the family's 1533-position model. The record is from RNAcentral.
GAUGAACGCUGGCGGCGUGCCUAAUACAUGCAAGUCGAGCGAACAGACGAGGAGCUUGCUCCUCUGACGUUAGCGGCGGACGGGUGAGUAACACGUGGAUAACCUACCUAUAAGACUGGGAUAACUUCGGGAAACCGGAGCUAAUACCGGAUAAUAUAUUGAACCGCAUGGUUCAAUAGUGAAAGACGGUUUUGCUGUCACUAAUAGAUGGAUCCGCGCCGCAUUAGCUAGUUGGUAAGGUAACGGCUACCCAAGGCAACGAUGCGUAGCCGACCUGAGAGGGUGAUCGGCCACACUGGAACUGAGACACGGUCCAGACUCCUACGGGAGGCAGCAGUAGGGAAUCUUCCGCAAUGGGCGAAAGCCUGACGGAGCAACGCCGCGUGAGUGAUGAAGGUCUUCGGAUCGUAAAACUCUGUUAUUAGGGAAGAACAAAUGUGUAAGUAACUAUGCACGUCUUGACGGUACCUAAUCAGAAAGCCACGGCUAACUACGUG